CAAGGCCAUUGGUGGCUGCACGGGGUGGCACGGGCACUGCAAUACCUCGUGAUCAACAGCAGAGAGAGCUCACAGGAGGAGAAAGUGAAUCCCAGGGUGAGGGACCAUCACCACCGCAGGGGAUGAAGGCAGGACACGCUCCACUAAAAUGUCUCCUGUUGGUCUCUGGUAGAGGCACGGUAUGAGAUACAGCAGUAACAGAAUAAAAAUGGCAGGGCCAGCUCUCUAACAGGCUUUAGGCACUUAGUUGCUCUUGGGGAUUAAUUCACAGUAGCUAACUUGAGGGAGUAUCAUGAAUGGAGAUAAUGGAGGUGCCUCUAAAAGGGAUUCACAGCAGCCUUAACCUCCCUCACACCAAGCCCCAAACAGGAACCAUCCUGCAUAAACCCCUCUCUUGAGGGAGGAAAAAAAAAAAAAAAAAAUGGAUGCAACUGCUUUUCUUCAAAGAGUUGGUUGAUGUCCUGCUGUCACUACAACAGCUACCAGACAACCCAUGGAUUACACAUCUGAAAAUACACUGUGUUCAGUUUUUGCUUUGGGAUUACAGUAAUGAUCCUCUCCAAGCUUCUUACAGCCAAAGACAAGCGACCAAUGCACAAAACACCUUCCAGGAGGAGCCUCGAGGACAAAUCCAUUGUGGAUGCCACCUCAUUUAAAAGUCACUAAAAAUCAAACCUUUCAAACAAGUGUUUUUCCAAAUGCUGAUGGAAAUGGGAAAAUCAAAGUCUGCCUGUACACACAGAUAUGUGUUUGUAAAUAUUUACACAUGCUCAAAUGCACGCCCUGUCUUGCAUCUGAACACCAAAACCACAGCAAAGCAGAUCCUUAUUUUUUGGCCAAUCCAUAUAAACUUUUAUUAAAGAUUCAACAUACUGAAUUGUUGACUAGAAUGGUAACUGAAUGUGUUUUUUCCUAGCUUCUUUUCCUGUUAGAAAACUAAAAGCAAAGUACACAUUCAGAGUGCCUUUGACCUUGAUGGGAAUGCUGCUUGAAGAAUGACUGUAUGGCUGUACCACUGAUUUUAUGGACUAUUUUUGCAGUAUGAUGUGUAUCAUCAUUACUUCUGCUUUCAAGGACCCUUUUCUACUAAGUUUAGCCUGUGCAGACUGUUUAUCUUGAGCUUCUCAGUGCUCUCUCAUCCUUUUCUGCCUCAAUGACUUUUGAAAGACAUCAGUUUACCACAUUAUAAUUAAUUGUUCUAACCCUGUUUAAGCUCACUGCCUCUUUAGACAUUGCCAUCUCUCUUAUUUUUCUGUCAUUUAUUUUGCAUCUUGCAAAUUGAAGUCAGCAUUCCUUUAAAAGCUGAGCUUUCCUAGAACUGCCAAUCUAUUCGUGCGUUGGCUCUUUUAAAAAAUUCUUAUUAUUUUACAUUCAGAUUCAUGAAUAUUUCAAAAUUAGAUGCCCCAAUUGCUGGAUCAGAGCUGGUCUUCAAAUAAGCACUUCCACUUUCAUUGAGAGCAAUGGAAAAACUGCUAUUGAUUUCAACAGUAGUAGGAUCAGGUCCCAAAUAAAACUGCAUUCAUUAUGUUUGGCUCAUUUCCUAGGAUUACUUGGAACUUUGAAAGCUGUAAUUCUUGAUGUUGACAGCUCUCCCUCCCUCCCAGGGCACUGUGGUUAAGCCAAUCGAUACAUUAUUAAAAUAAACAGCCCCUUGAUCAAACUCAUGGCUUUAGUGCAAGUCUUUCUGCUCUGGGGGAAAAAAAGCCUUUAACAGCCCUCAGGGCCCCACCAGUAUCCAAGGAGCACCUGACUUCACUUAUUGUCCCUAAUUCAUAUCCAAGUUCAUUCUGCUUCAUUGAACAAGAUACCUAGGAUUUCUGCAAAAUAAUACCACUCCCUUUACUGCACACACUGCCUCUCUUCCUCUUAAAAAGUGACUCUAAAAAUUCCCUGACCUGCAGCUCACUGUUCUGUCUUUAAUGGACUCCUCUUUUUCUGUAUAUUUUUCCCUGGGUUUGGGUUGUUAUUUAAACCCUAGAAUCCAUUUGUCCUUUCUUCAUUCUCAGUUUUCACUCCAACUUUCUCCAUCUCCCUUCUCACUUCAUCAUUUCUUUUUCUUUCACUGUGAUGCUUUUUUUAGUCUUCUAAGAUUGACUGAAAAAUCUGCUACUGAAAAUUUUCUAGGAGGAAAAUGAACUUCUUUAUAAAGCUGAAGCCCACUCUGAAAGAAAAGCCCAGGGCUUAAUGCAAUUUCUUUUUCAUCAGUUGUGGCCUGGACAAAAGGUAUCUUUUUUCCCUACAUGUUUUUUUUUUUCUUGCUGCUGUUUCCAUUCAUGCUCUUCAAAUGCUUCGAAUAGGCACCAUGUCACAGCACUGAGCUGUUAUAAAAUCCUGCAUCUUUGCUCAGAUUUCAGCAGCAGAAAAUCUGCAGUCACGUAAUACUCUAGAUGCUCAUUUUGUUCUACUUAUUUAUGUCAAAGAACAAAGCAGUUCCAACUAAACCCAGAACAGGAGGAAAUGAAAAACUCCUUUUCCAUUGUGUGGGGUGGAAAGGAGGAAAAUGAAUACCCACAAAUUCUAAUGGAUUUCAGAGGGAACAUGACCCUGACCCUAAAGAGGGGCUGAGGCAAAGAUGAUGCUCCCCAGCCUCAGGGUGAGCCUGACUCCCCAGGAGACAGCACAGGGCAGCUGUGGCAGUCAGCAGGCAGAGCAGAGGUGUGGCACACUGAGUGACACUGGCUGUGACUCUGUCCUGCUGAAUGCCCUGUGGGCAGUGUCUCCUGCAUCCCAGUGUGCAACCAAGUGUCCUGCCAGAGAGCCAGGGGCUCCUGCUCUGUCCCCUCCUCAGAGAGGCAAGCCCAGGGGUUGCUCUUGCAAACACUACCAAGGGGAAGGAGAGGCAGGUUGGCAGAGGUAGAGAGAGUGAGGGGAAACUGCUCAUCUUUGCACAUUGUCCUGGUAACUCUGUGCAGGAGAACAAGCAGUUAAAACUUGGGUUUGUUCACGUGAAGCCAACUGCUGACCCAAUUUAAUGCCUCUGGGUGUGCCAGCUCACAGCCUCCUGACUGGCAACAGGCUGGAAAGAAGCACCAGCUCCCCACUGCCUCCCUGCCUGCCCCCUCUGCUCUACCAGCUCACCCACUGUGAAGGUGGAAAACCAUCCCUUUACUGGGUGACACACCUCUUGAGGCUUUUGUCCUUAUGAGAGGCUCCUUAACGAAAUGCAUUCUAUCCAUGUGGUGUAGCAAGCUGAUGGCUUUCCAAGCAAGAUGGGCAUUGUUGAAGAAGAUUCAACGAGUCUCAACUCUGCAGCCUCCUUGUACCCUGAAGUUAUACACCUUUUGACAAGGGAACAAACAUUGUUGUAUAUUGCUUUCAAUUCUGAAGCUCUGCUUCUGAAUGGAUUGCAAUUCCCUAUCAAGCUCUAGUGUCAAUUAAGUUCUCUUGCCACAAAUAAACCACAUCAAAAUCAAUUAAGGGAUGCCCUUCACCCUGCUAUAAAAAAAGGCAACCCCCUAAAGCUCACUAGCUUAUGAACUCAAACAGUCAGUGGUAUGCACUGUGCCUAUUGAAUUUUUUGCAUGUGAUUAAUAGUGUAUUGAUCCUCUGUGACACUUCUGCAAGGCACUUGCAACACAUGAUAACAGCAAUUUCCAUGCUAUGAUAAUGGAGCACUGUCCUCGUGCAGGGAAGAGAAACAAUAAAGUAGUCAUUUAGUGAGGCAAAUGUGCAAUAAAACAUAUGAAUUCAUUAUUUCACAGUAAUUCUCUUCUUGGGGAUAAAUCAUCUCACCCUCACCUGUUUUUUCUUUCACACUAAUUCUAAAUUUAGCCUUAAAUUCACUGAGUUUACCAAAGCUAAUGUUCAGAGCUUUCUCACAAUUGAGGAUUACUGUACUUUUUCAUUAUGUUUUCUAACUAAGUAAAAAGAUGGAUGUGUAAGAUUACACAUUUUUGGAAAAACAAGUAGAGUUGUCUAUACCCAGCAAUGGCUUUGAUCAGCUGUUGCCAUACCUGCCUAGGCCACCUCCACACAAAGCCAGAGCUGUGUUUUUACUGCCUCUAUCAUUCAUUUUAAACAAUAACUGAGGACAGAUUUUUAUCCCACCUGUGGCAGCUGUACAAACAUGUCAUACAGUACCUUAUUCCCAGAAAUCUAGAUACCCACACCAUCAGUGGAAGGGAACAAUCAUUUCUUCUUCUUUGUUCCCGCCCCCCAUCUGCCUAAUACCUGAUUUUUUUUAUUUUUUUUUUCUAGAAUACAUUAAUGGAAGGAAGAGUUGUGCAACAUGGCACUGUGGUGGAAAGCAGCCAGCCAACCUGUACAAGGAAAACAGCUAUUACACACACGAUCUGCAGUGUUAGUCCCAUUACAGGGCUAUAAAAUCCGAGCAGGUUACAAAGCCCUGAGGGCUGGGCCAUGAGCACUAAAACUUAAUGGUGAGAGCAAGCUACUUUUGAUUUUAGCCUUGACUUCUCCUCCAUGCUGGCAGUAAAUAUCAGCAAAAAUACGACUCAGUGGCAGAAAUGAGCUGUAAUCUUUUAAGAAGUGGAGUAUCAACCCUUUGCUGAUGAACCAGGGUACUCAGGUGACUGGGGUGCUCUGCCAGGGCACCUCUGCUCACAACCAUGGAAAUUUCCUAAGCACCCUGAGGUUUAAUUUACUGUUGUUGUUUUCUUUUCUUCAAGAGAAAAAAAAAAAAAAAAAAGGAACAAAAACUUCAGGCAUAUGAAGUUUCGCACAGGAAAUGAAAUUGAAACCACUGACACGGCAGCGCAGCAGCGUUGAGACGUGCAAAAAGAAGAAGUGGCAAAGCUGAUGAACAAGCUCAGGGAGAGCACAACUUUGCAAAACAGGUUGGUGAAACAUAGACUUUCACACACACACAAAAGUGAAGCUCUGUAGACACUAUGAUAUUUAUUUGCUCUCCUGCAGCUGGUGCCAGGUGCUGGCUUGCACAGCCGGACAAUGGCAUGUUUUGUUUAAUCCCAGAACAGCCUUGGCUCUGUCUCCAGCUGCAGCCCCAUCCUCUCAAUUUCCCUGGCUGCCCAGAGCCACUCACUGUGCUCCUGGGGGACAUUUGAGAAGGAAUGCCACUAUGUCCUAAAGGCCUUGCAAUGGCAUUAUUUGAUAAAAAAAUUUUAAAAAUCACUAAUUUCAUUACUGCCCAUCUGCUUUGAAGUUCUGAGUUGCAAAUAGAAAACCUUUGGUACUGACCACUAAACUUCUGUGCUUUUAAAUAUAAUGUGAUUCACACUGAUUCCCAACCAGAGGUGUAUUUUCUGUUCAGUUUUGCCAUGGGUCUCUGACAUUUGCUUUCACAGACCGAGAGCUGUGCUCGUUUGUAUGUCAGGAGAUAUGAAAACCAAACAGCGCCAGAACAAAUACUUCACUUUUCCAAGGAAACCAACACAUAAACCACUUCUGCAUACCACAGUCUGCAAAGUGCAGAGCACACACCAAGCAGGAACAAAACCCUGGGCCCACACAGUACUUGGACAAAAGCCCCACAGGAAUUCACUCAAACUGCUGCCUCCAAAGGGAAUUGUACUAGAGCAAAGGCUGACUCCAGUACAAGACACGAGUACCUGCAGUCCCACCUUCUUACCAGGGUCAAUCCCACAGGUUACAGAAGCUACAAAGCAAUCUACCACCACCAGUCAGGCCUGGGUCAGAAUAGUAUGCAUGCCAUAGCAGCCAAAAUGUGUUUCAGAUGAGGAAAUAAUCUAUGUUCUCCAGACAACCUUUUAAAGGUAAAUGAUGGUUUUGCUGAAUGAAAUGUUUGAACAACUGCAUUGUAUGUUAUUUUUCUCCAGUCUAAAUGCAGACAGGACUUAAUUUUAUUCCUGUGCAGGUGCAAAUGGGCACCCUGGAUGGAUGUGGAUCACACUGGUGAGUUCAGUGGAAAGCAGGAUCAAUACUGAGACCCAGAUUCAGACCAGAAUUUUGCAGCUGCUUGCUACCUUGAUUCAUGCUGCAUCUAAAAGCCCUGACCCAGGUCAGAUAUUCAGAUACCAAACUCAGAGCUUGUGGUUUGCCCUCACCUCUGCAUCAUUUACUUUUUCCACUCAUUGCCCCUCAACCACAGCUUGCUGUAUUGACAGUGCAGACACUUAUUUAGAAUAAGUAAACACGGUGCCCUCUCCAGCCCAAUCUGACUGUUCCACAGCUGGUGCUGCACUGCAGAGCCUGAUCCAACAACCCUGCUUCGUGACAGCACUGAACAAACAUCCUCUAAAAAGCUUUCCACUCCUAGUUGGGGUUUUUUUGGUUGGUUGGUCAGUUCUGUGACUCAUCAGCCUUAGAGUAUUUUCCUUGGUGCAGGUGCCACCACCUCAGCUGUCCAGGUUUCCUCAGUGCAGGGGAAGACAAGAUGAAAUCCCAGGGGCCAGGGCAGAACUGUAACAGUUCUGCAAGAGAGAUGUCCAGCAGAUGUUCAGCUGACUACAACCCCAGGAGAGGUGAGGAAAAGAGGAUCUGCUGUGGGAAAGACCACAUCAUGCCAUGCAUAGAAGAGGUACAGAAACAAUAUUCUUACUGCAUAAUGAGGAAAGGUACAAAAUUAAGACAAGGAGAAGGCUAAACCUACCAGUUCUUAUGAACUUUUUUAACAACAGGAAGGAAAAUCAGGGAAGAUAUACAAAUAAGAAUGAUGAAGCUGCGAAAGGAGUCUGGACUAACAUGCAAAAGACAACUGUAACAGAUAUCAAAAUAUUAAAAUUUCAAGUACUUUUCUCUAUAUAUGGUAAAACAGCAACAAAUUCUAUGUAAAUGAUGAAAUCCCAGGGCAUUAAAAUAAAUAAUGGCAUACUGUUUCAAAAUGUUCCUGGAUAAAGUAAAUGGCAUGCAAUGGGAUGGGGAUUUAGUGUUAGGAACUAUAAACCCAACAUCCCAGGAGAGCAGUAACACUGCCUGAGGAGCAGCUAGCAAAGUCAUUAAUUCAAGAAGAACCUAAAGGUGAUUGCAGGUAAGAUCAGCCAAGUAAUAGAGUUUCUCUGUGUGAUGCCUCUGAAUGGUGCAGAAGGGUCAAAGGCUAAGAUAUUUCUGGAUGUGGACAAGGGAAGGGAAGAUAUGGAAAUCUAAAGCAUAAUGCUAUGUCAA
Molecule: long non-coding RNA, 7041 nt
Organism: Oenanthe melanoleuca
Lineage: Eukaryota; Metazoa; Chordata; Aves; Passeriformes; Muscicapidae
Exons: 3
Source: RefSeq, a predicted model, not a curated record